GCCGUCAGCUCGUAGCUGAUGCAGCCAUGCCGCGUGUGUGAAGAAGGCCUUCGGGUUGUAAAGCACUUUCCUUAGGGAGGAAGGGGGGUGGCUUAAUACGCUAUAGCUGUGACGUUACCUACAGAAGAAGGACCGGCUAAAUCCGUGCCAGCAGCCGCGGUAAUAA
Molecule: ribosomal RNA, 166 nt
Filed under: uncultured bacterium
Lineage: Bacteria
Description: partial 16S ribosomal RNA
Rfam family: Bacterial small subunit ribosomal RNA
Source: RNAcentral